UAAUACGUAGGGUGCAAGCGUUAAUCGGAAUUACUGGGCGUAAAGCGUGCGCAGGCGGUCGUGCAAGACAGAUGUGAAAUCCCCGGGCUUAACCUGGGAACUGCAUUUGUGACUGCACGGCUGGAGUGCGGCAGAGGGGGAUGGAAUUCCGCGUGUAGCAGUGAAAUGCGUAGAUAUGCGGAGGAACACCGAUGGCGAAGGCAAUCCCCUGGGCCUGCACUGACGCUCAUGCACGAAAGCGUGGGGAGCAAACAGGAUUAGAUACCCUGGUAGUCCACGCCCUAAACGAUGUCAACUGGUUGUUGGACGGCUUGCUGUUCAGUAACGAAGCUAACGCGUGAAGUUGACCGCCUGGGGAGUACGGCCGCAAGGUU
RNAcentral lists this ribosomal RNA (374 nucleotides) under uncultured bacterium. Its description in RNAcentral is "bacterial SSU rRNA". It matches the Rfam family "Bacterial small subunit ribosomal RNA", at positions 521 to 895 of the family's 1533-position model. The record is from RNAcentral.